This 241-nucleotide long non-coding RNA is filed under the name Homo sapiens (human). RNAcentral describes it as "HSALNT0320588". The record is from RNAcentral. Lineage: Eukaryota; Metazoa; Chordata; Mammalia; Primates; Hominidae.
GCAUUCUAAAGCAGUACUGAGUGAUCUAAGCGUGGCUUGGUCAGAGAAAGAGGGAAUACCCAGUUAAUGUGAAGAAUCUCCAGUAUAUAAUUUGAAUAUUAAAGCAAUGUCAUCUGUUAAUAAAAAAAAAAACACAGAGCAUUAGCUUCCAUCAUUAGAAAUUUUGCAAUAAAAAGGAAAAUUGGGUUGAAACGGUAUCAGAAUUUUCUAAACUAGAUAGAAGGAUGUGUGCAAGAAAUUU